CCCCUCUCAGGAUCAUCACAUCUGGAGGGUUUCCAGUACUCUACCAGUGUUGGCUAUGAGAGAGAGUCAAGCAGAGGCCUACCCAUUCCAUUCCUAGCUUGGGCAGUGGCUAGAGAAUGGAAGGAAAUCUGUUACAAGU
Small nucleolar RNA from Ornithorhynchus anatinus (platypus), 139 nucleotides. Lineage: Eukaryota; Metazoa; Chordata; Mammalia; Monotremata; Ornithorhynchidae. The record is from RefSeq and is a predicted model, not a curated record.